Molecule: long non-coding RNA, 1597 nt
Filed under: Pelobates cultripes (western spadefoot toad)
Lineage: Eukaryota; Metazoa; Chordata; Amphibia; Anura; Pelobatidae
Source: RNAcentral
AAUAUAUAUAUAUAUAUUCUUCGACUAAAUACCAGAUACAUUUCUUCGAAGAUGCCUUACUAAUUCUUAUUUUUUUUCUCAGUUAUUAAAUGGUUACUGUGCGCACCUUGCCAACACAAGUGAUUUGAAGUGGUCAUGGUGCCUGGGGUCUCUAUGUUCAGCGUUUCACUCCACCUCUGGCUGCAUCAUUGGAGGGUCUUUAGCCAACCUGGAACAAGAGAUUUGGCUGGCUAAUGCUAAUUCUGUACAUAUUCCUAAGCACGGGAGUACAUUCAUUGUCUGAGAGUGGUUAUUUACACUUUCAACCAAUCAUUGCCCGGUGGGACGGACAUCUAGUUUCUGCAGCUUUGCAGAAUACGGUUUUCGUCACUAGUCACUGUAGGACAGUCAGCGCCCGGUGGUGAUCCAAGUAAGAGGGUUGUACUUAUCUAAACAUAGAGUUAUAGUACUAUACAAUAUAUAGUAUGCUAUUGAUUCCACGGCUGACAUAAUUGCUGAAUUUAACUUAAGAGCCUCCAUGUGUUUCCAAAGAAUUGCACAUACAGCUCUGCAAAAUUGUUACCAUUUUCAUAAUGUAUAGAUUGUGUGAAGUUGAAUGUUACAACGUAUCUGUUAUUAUCCAAAAAUUCUAUCACAAGCAUUCAUUAUUUGGGCUUCUUGGUGAAGCUGAGAUAUAUUUGCAGAUAAAAGAGUGGAAAAUGAAAGUGAUCUCAGAAAUGGUGAGGUAAUAAUUAUGGAGCAUUUUUAACCAAAAGCACAGAGGCCAUAAUAAGGCAUUAUAUAUGAAUACACAAUUGUUUAUUUGCCAAACGUUGAAUGACAGUGCACCUCACAACAGACAUAAAUUAAAGUUAAAAUAGUCACGCUGGGAAUAGUUUACAUCUUAGCAAAAAUGUAUCUUUUUACAAAUCUUCUAUAUCUUCUCAAAUUCUGCAAACCUUUAGUUAAGCAUUCCCUCACGUCUGGUAGACUUUGCUUUGGUGUAAUAACCCAGGACUACUUUCUAGCAAAGGUUAAAGACACUGUGGCAGUGAUGGCUGAUCAUGUUUAUCACCAGACUCACCCAAGGAAUUUGACCCCAACUUCUCUGUCUGGAAACCCCACCUCCCCAACUCAAUGGACAAUGGAAAUAUCAAACUGACUGUAAAAAAUCUGUAUUUAAUUUAUUUACCCAUCAAAUGCCAGAGAAAUGGCGAGCACGUUGCAAAGCAUAUCUGACAUGGAAGCAUUAUUAAACAUAUUGCAAAUUAUGUAUUCAUCAGUUUGCAGUAAACUACUUACUCUUUUGAGACACUCUAUUCCUGCUGUGAUAGAAUAAAUUACUCAAAAAUAGGAAAUUAUUUUAAUUCCAAGCACAGAACCAUCCAAUUUAAAAAAGAAGACUUGAAGAUGGAGGACAAGUACAAAAUGACAUGAAAUGGACCUGAAAUUCUGUGUUUGGGGGACACACAUACAGUAUUCUAAUUGGGAGACACGGUGGCAGCAGACACACAGUGCUGGAAUUAAGGAACACAGUUUGAGCAGACUAACAGUGCUGUUAUUGGAACUGGCAUUUUAACUAGAUGGCUUCCCUUAACAGCCUAACAUUUGUUUUUUU